AAUGAACGUUGGCGGCGUGGAUUAGGCAUGCAAGUCGAGCGCUCAUAGCAAUAUGGGAGCGGCGAACGGCGUAGUAAUAUGUAGGAACGUACCCUCGGGUCGGGAUAGCCAUGGGAAACUGUGGGUAAUACCCGAUAAUCUCUGCGGAGCAAAGGUGUGAUUCCGCCUGAGGAGCGGCCUACACGAUAUUAGCUAGUUGGUAGGGUAAUGGCCUACCAAGGCUACGAUGUCUAGGGGGUGUGAGAGCAUGGCCCCCCACGACCGGAACUGAGAUACUGUCCGGACACCUACGGGUGGCUGCAGUCGAGAAUCUUCCGCAAUGGACGAAAGUCUGACGGAGCGACGCCGCGUGCGGGAUGAAGGCCCUGGUUGUAAACCGCUGUCAGAGGGGAUGAAAUCUUCGGAGGUGCUCCUCCAAAGUUGCAGAGCCUCAAAGGAAGCACGGGCUAAGUACGUGCCAGCAGCCGCGG
Molecule: ribosomal RNA, 470 nt
Filed under: uncultured bacterium
Lineage: Bacteria
Description: bacterial SSU rRNA
Rfam family: Bacterial small subunit ribosomal RNA
Source: RNAcentral